Amphiprion ocellaris (clown anemonefish) is the source of this 829-nucleotide long non-coding RNA. RefSeq lists it as uncharacterized. The record is from RefSeq and is a predicted model, not a curated record. NCBI's taxonomy places the organism in Eukaryota, Metazoa, Chordata, Actinopteri, Pomacentridae. The transcript has 3 exons.
AUUUACCACAGACUGUAUAUAAUGGUAUUUACGCAGCUAAUCAACGUCAGGCGUCCUUAUGUGCAGCUACCGUUGUUCUCAUAGAUAUGAAUGAGUAGAUAGGACACGCCCCUUUGAGCUGCGUGCUACAGCGAGGCUAAGCUAGUGGGGGAAAAGUUUCAGUGCAUUCCGUUGAUGUAGACGGCGUGAAAACGGAAACAAGAAGUAUGCCGGCUCACUGUGCUGCAUACAAUUACACACUACGUCGUACGAUUGAGACAAGGAAACUUGGAAUGACUUUUCAUAGGUUUCCCAGAGACUAUGGGUUGAGGAGGAAUUGGAAGUUUGUCGGCUUAGACCUGGUGUCAUUCCAUCAGUGUUAAACUUCCCGGCUCAUCUUGGAAGAGUACGUGCCAGAAAGACCACGACCAAGCAGCCUUGAGAUCUUAGACAGCGUCUCCCUGAGGUCCCUCUCUAUCUCCCCACACAUCCACCAACCACUGAAAUACAUCUCCAAAGUUCUGCCGGGCCAGCUCAGCUUCCCCUCAGAAGAAGUGCUGCCACCUGCCAGAUGAAGGAGCCUUUUGAGAGGCAGCUGGCAUCGUGAUUGGACUGUACUUUGGUCUGUUCUAAUCCAGCUUCAGCUCCAGAGACGGCAGGCGGGACGAGUCAACGGAGGCCGGGUGGACGAAGGCAUGCAGCUGAGUACAAUCCAGAAAACAACAAAUAACAAGUCAAAGGAAAGAGACAUACAUUGUAGAAUUGUAGUAAUUGUGGGCUGACUGAUUUACUGAUUAUCAGUAUUUUAUUUUUUACUGAUUUAUGGUAAUAAAUACAUUUAAAAAUGGUG